UUUACAAUGAGCUAAGCCCACACACCGCAUAUUCAACUAUAAAAGGCCCCGAAAUGACAAUAUGAAUGAAGUCCAUUUUCAAUGAAUUAGUUCACAAUUUUAUUUAGGGUCCAGCUGAGGACCACCUCUUGGUGCGGGAUUUUCUCGCUGCGUUGAAGACCCAUUGGUAGUUUCGGCUGUUGUCUGCUCUUUGGUCAGGUUGUUGCCUCUUUGACAUAUU
This 220-nucleotide long non-coding RNA is filed under the name Mytilus galloprovincialis (Mediterranean mussel). The record is from RNAcentral. Lineage: Eukaryota; Metazoa; Mollusca; Bivalvia; Mytilida; Mytilidae.